Molecule: ribosomal RNA, 442 nt
Filed under: uncultured bacterium
Lineage: Bacteria
Description: partial 16S ribosomal RNA
Rfam family: Bacterial small subunit ribosomal RNA
Source: RNAcentral
CCUACGGGAGGCAGCAGUAGGGAAUCUUUCACAAUGGGCGAAAGCCUGAUGGAGCAACGCCGCGUGCAGGAUGAAGGCCUUCGGGUUGUAAACUGCUUUUAUAAGCGAGAAAUAUGAUGGUAACUUAUGAAUAAGGAUCGGCUAACUACGUGCCAGCAGCCGCGGUCAUACGUAGGAUCCGAGCAUUAUCCGGAGUGACUGGGUGUAAAGAGUUGCGUAGGUGGCAUAAUAAGUAGCUAGUGAAAUCUGGUGGCUCAACCAUUCAGACUAUUAGCGAAACUGUUAAGCUCGAGACCGUUAGGGGUAACUGGAAUUUCUGGUGUAGGAGUGAAAUCCGUAGAUAUUAGAAGGAACACCAAUAGCGUAGGCAGGUUGCUGGGACGGUUCUGACACUAAGGCACGAAAGCGUAGGGAGCAAACGGGAUUAGAUACCCGGGUAGUC